CCUACGGGAGGCAGCAGUAGGGAAUCUUCCACAAUGGACGAAAGCCUGAUGGAGCAACGCCGCGUGAGUGAAGAAGGGUUUCGGCUCGUAAAGCCCUGUUGGUAGUGAAGAAAGAUAGUGGUAGUAACUAGCCCUUAUUUGACGGUAAUUACUUAGAAAGUCACGGGCAACUACGUGCCCGCAGCCGCCGUAAUACGUAGGUGGCAAGCGUUGUCCGGUUUUAUUGGGCGUGAAGCGAGUGCAGGCGGCUCAAUAAGUCUGAUGUGAAAGCCUUCGGCUCAACCGGAGAAUUGCAUCAGAAACUGGUGGACUUGAGUGCAGAAGAGGAGAGUGGAACUCCAGGUGUAGCGGUGGAAUGCGUAGAUAUAUGGAGGAACACCAGUGGCGAAGGCGGCUUUCUGGUCUGCAACUGACGCUGAGGCUCGAAAGCAUGGGUAGCGAACAGGAUUAGAUACCCCAGUAGUC
RNAcentral lists this ribosomal RNA (465 nucleotides) under uncultured bacterium. RNAcentral's name for it is "partial 16S ribosomal RNA". It matches the Rfam family "Bacterial small subunit ribosomal RNA", at positions 338 to 795 of the family's 1533-position model. The record is from RNAcentral.